AGAGUGAACGCUGGCGGCGUGCCUAAUACAUGCAAGUCGAACGCGAAAGUCCUUCGGGAUGAGUAAAGUGGCGCACGGGUGAGUAAUGGUUGAGAACAUGCCCUGAGGUGGGGAAUAACAGUUGGAAACGACUGCUAAUACCGCAUGGUAACGCAAGUUUAAAGGUGGGGAUCGCAAGACCUACCGCCACAGGAUUGGCUCAACUCCCAUUAGCUAGUUGGUAGGUAACGGCCUACCAAGGCGACGAUGGGUAACUGGUCUUAGAGGAUGAUCAGUCACACUGGAACUGAGACACGGUCCAGACUCCUACGGGAGGCAGCAGUAGGGAAUAUUGCACAAUGGAGGCAACUCUGAUGCAGCAACGCCGCGUGAGUGAAGAAGGCCGUUGGCGUAAAGCUCUUUAGCCGUAGGAAGAAGUGUUCAUGAGUAAACAAUUCAUGGAUGUGACGGUACCAGGAGAAUAAGGACCGUAUAAGUUUCGUAGCCAGCAGCCGUA
Molecule: ribosomal RNA, 496 nt
Filed under: uncultured soil bacterium
Lineage: Bacteria
Description: bacterial SSU rRNA
Rfam family: Bacterial small subunit ribosomal RNA
Source: RNAcentral